AAAACAAAACUUUAGGAAGAUAUUCAAUUUAAUGGAAACUAGUCUAGUCAUUUGGGAACCACAAGAGCUUUUUAGGGAAAUCUGCCCCUGCAGGAUAGAGGAAGUGUGGGUGUACCGGAGUCCCAGUGACACUUUAUGACAUCAGAUAUCCCAAGAGGAAGGUUGAUUGGCUACUGAGGAGCUGAAGCAGGGUUUAAAUUCUUGUGCCAUCCAUGUAAUUUUCAAAAACCAGCUAAAACAUAUCUUCAUUGACCCCACAUAUUUCUGAUGAGAUCUACAACCCAAUAUUUGGUGAAUUGUCUAGAGAAAAAAUUUUCGAACUGAAGAAACAGAUAAAGGUUGGAAGUUUCCUAAUUAUCAACUAUGAAGACUCCUUUCCUGCUCAUCGUCUUCUGGGGAUUAUCCUGUGCUCUUCCUGUCACCAGAUAUCUAAACACAGAUUCUGAGAGUUCUGAAGAAUUGACGGUA
This 468-nucleotide long non-coding RNA is filed under the name Monodelphis domestica (gray short-tailed opossum). RNAcentral's name for it is "lncRNA (ENSMODG00000038897.1)". The record is from RNAcentral. Lineage: Eukaryota; Metazoa; Chordata; Mammalia; Didelphimorphia; Didelphidae.